AACUUCUGAAUGUUGACCUCGGAUCAGGUAGGAAUACCCGCUGAACUUAAGCAUAUCAAUAAGCGGAGGAAAAGAAACCAACAGGGAUUGCCCUAGUAACGGCGAGUGAAGCGGCAACAGCUCAAAUUUGAAAUCUGGCUCUCGGGCCCGAGUUGUAAUUUGUAGAGGAUGCUUUUGAUGCGGUGCCUUCCGAGUUCCCUGGAACGGGACGCCAUAGAGGGUGAGAGCCCCGUCUGGUUGGAUGCCAAAUCUCUGUAAAGCUCCUUCGACGAGUCGAGUAGUUUGGGAAUGCUGCUCUAAAUGGGAGGUAUAUGUCUUCUAAAGCUAAAUACCGGCCAGAGACCGAUAGCGCACAAGUAGAGUGAUCGAAAGAUGAAAAGCACUUUGAAAAGAGAGUUAAAAAGUACGUGAAAUUGUUGAAAGGGAAGCGUUUAUGACCAGACUUGGGCUUGGUUAAUCAUCUGGGGUUCUCCCCAGUGCACUUUUCCAGUCCAGGCCAGCAUCAGUUUUCGCCGGGGGACAAAGGCUUCGGGAAUGUGGCUCUCUCCGGGGAGUGUUAUAGCCCGUUGCGUAAUACCCUGGCGGGGACUGAGGUUCGCGC
Molecule: ribosomal RNA, 601 nt
Filed under: Fusarium sp. NRRL 52695
Lineage: Eukaryota; Fungi; Ascomycota; Sordariomycetes; Hypocreales; Nectriaceae
Description: eukaryotic LSU rRNA
Rfam family: Eukaryotic large subunit ribosomal RNA
Source: RNAcentral